This 577-nucleotide ribosomal RNA is filed under the name uncultured archaeon. RNAcentral's name for it is "bacterial SSU rRNA". It matches the Rfam family "Archaeal small subunit ribosomal RNA", at positions 324 to 905 of the family's 1478-position model. The record is from RNAcentral.
GACGGGGAGCAGCAGGCGCGAAACCUUUGCAAUGUGCGCAAGCACGACAAGGUUAAUCCGAGUGGUUUCUGCUAAAGGAACCUUUUGUUAGUCCUAAAAACACUAACGAAUAAGGGGUGGGCAAGUUCUGGUGUCAGCCGCCGCGGUAAAACCAGCACCUCAAGUGGUCAGGAUGAUUAUUGGGCCUAAAGCAUCCGUAGCCGGCUCUGUAAGUUUUCGGUUAAAUCUGUACGCUUAACGUACAGGCCGCCGGGAAUACUGCAGAGCUAGGGAGUGGGAGAGGUAGACGGUACUCCGUAGGAAGGGGUAAAAUCCUUUGAUCUAUGGAUGACCACCUGUGGCGAAGGCGGUCUACCAGAACACGUUCGACGGUAAGGAAUUGGCGGGGGAGCAAACCGGAUUAGAUACCCGGGUAGUCUCAGCUGUAAACUAUGCAAACUCAGUGAUGCAUUGGCUUGUGGCCAGUGCAGUGCCGCAGGGAAGCCGUUAAGUUUGCCGCCUGGGAAGUACGUACGCAAGUAUGAAACUUAAAGGAAUUGGNGGGGGAGCACAAUCUCUANAGGAUCCCGGGUACCGA